RNAcentral lists this microRNA precursor (100 nucleotides) under Marmota monax (woodchuck). Lineage: Eukaryota; Metazoa; Chordata; Mammalia; Rodentia; Sciuridae. The record is from RNAcentral.
AGUACAGAUUCUGGGUCAUAUUCUAAAAUUGUUUAAGUUUUUAAGAAAUUUCCAAAUGUCUUCCAAAAGAGCUAUAGUAAUUUUUAUUCCCACCAGAAAU